Molecule: long non-coding RNA, 3408 nt
Filed under: Carassius auratus (goldfish)
Lineage: Eukaryota; Metazoa; Chordata; Actinopteri; Cypriniformes; Cyprinidae
Description: lncRNA (ENSCARG00000039777.1)
Source: RNAcentral
AUGCAUCCAGCUGCAGCCCCGCAGACUCACUUUUUGCUAGACACCAGUGGCUGGAUGGACAGCAGACGUCAUUUCCAUAUCGUCAUUCACUUUUCAAUUUUGACUCGCCAUGCAGAUGUCAGCGGACGGUACAGAAAGUGCACAAGUGGGAGAGAGUGGAGGGGACGGCGUCAGAAAGGACCGAGCGCUGGGACACUUUCAAGGAUCACCCAAAGCACAACCACACUGUAUACACGAGGCUGCUGGUUCUAACAUUUUAGAGUGCCCUGCGGUAGAAAUCUCAUUCUGCAUUCCCCACGGUAAAGAAGAUACAGUCCGGGGGGGUUCCCGUUAGAAAUCAACUGGUUGAAGGUUCCCUGCUCGUACUGUGCAACACAUUUUCACUGCACAAAUGUACACAACUCUUGUAAUAAGACACAUUACUAAAACAUGUUUUUGACAGAAACUGUAGUUUUCCACCGAAAUAAAAGAUCCACUGGUUUCAGUCAUAACGGUACAAGGGUUUGUCUUGUAAGUGCUGCAAAAAAUAUGCAUUUAUAUGCCAGAUUAUUUUACAAAAACCUUUAAAUAUUAUUGUAUUUGGAUUGUUCUACUACAUGUUUUUAGCAAUACCUCCAUGCAUACUCUGCAUAAUAAAGUGUGGGAUUAUUUUCAUCUGUUUUAUACAGUAUGUUUCCAAAAUUAAACUGCUGUUUGACAAUUUUGAGCAUGUGGUAGUUUAUUGAAGUUGAUUGUAAAGCCAUUGCUGCCAGUAAUAAGAUUUUUAGCCUUGCAUGUACAGUGUUGAUCUAAAUGCCAACUAGGAUCUAGGUUCAUUUAUACAUGGUGCAAGGUACGACGGGGAAACAACGUCAUGUUAUCAACGUUGAUUAACUUUUCAAAAUCAACACCUCAUUCAGCUUUCAUCCCAGGUCUGCAGCACGACCCUAAUUCAUCCGUAAUGCAGGUAAGACGGUGAAACAGCGUCGCGAUUUCAACGGUGAAUCCAUGUCGUGAUUUCAACGUUGAUCCAAUUUGCAAAAUCGAAAGGUAAUUCAACGUUGAUUUAACGUCGGGAUUUCAACAGUGAAUCAGCGUCGUGAUUUCAACCGUACAUCAACGUCACGAUUUCAACGGUGAAUCAACUUCGUGAUUUCAACGUUGAUCCCAUUUGCAAAAUCGAAAGGUAAUUCAACGUUGAUUCAACCAUGGUACCUGACGUUUCAACGUAGAAUCAACGGUGAAAUGCCGGCUGGGGUAGAUCCUUUGUUUUGGAGAGAGAUUAGUACCUCUACAUUAGCAAUCUUUUACCGUUCUGUUGUACCAUUUUCUAAAUGUGGUUGGGUGAGGAAAGUCCAAGUUGAAGGUCUUUUUGACAUACUUGUAUGCCUUAAAUCUGCAGUUUAAGGACAAAUGUCUUAUGGGCUGGGUGGUAUUUUGUAUGACAACAUUGAAAUCUUAUAGGGAUCUCAAUUGAACAAUUGUUUUUAUUGUUCUUCUCCUGUUUUUAUUUAUUUUACUGGAUUGCUUGUGAUUGCUGAGCAGACUUCCAGUGAGAGUCUUUGGACUCAUUUGUUGAGGAGUCUGAGAAGCAUCAGUUGUGGUGUGGGGAAUGUCCUCACUCCAAGUUCAACAUGGCCCCAAUUUCGCUUAAAACUUAUAAUUAUGUGGGUUUGUGUGAUAAAUUAUAUUGAAAAUUAACUUAAUCUUUAAUGUGCAGCUUUUAUUCUUGUGUAUACCUCUAAAUUAAAGAGAACAACAUAGGCAACCCUACUUUCAAAGACGGCCUUUUGCUCUAACUCUUAUGGAGGCUCUUAAGAAAAGUUUGGGUAAGUAGUUGACACAAUAAACCUACAAAGCUAUCAUUGUGUUAAAGAGUAGUUUACUCUCUUCUAAUUUUAAUUCUAAUCUCAAUCCCGACUCCUCCCUCACCAUAUAUGGAGCUUAAAACGCCUAGUUUUACUAUUCUUAACCUCCGCUGCAUAUCAUUUCCAUACAUCUCAUCCACAUUCCCAUCCACAUGACACCAUCUUUAACACCAUCAAAGGUACAAGACAUAUGAGUUGUGUACUAAAUUAAUAUUAUAAUGCUAUAUGUGCCAUACACAUUUCUACUGUUAAAAAUAAUCAGAAUCAGAAUGAGCUUUAUUGCCAGGUAUGUUAACACAUACAAGAAAUUUGUUGACUACAGACAUUAAAGUGAAGUGACAUUCAGCCAAGUAUGGUGACCCAUACUCAGAAUUUGUGCUCUGCAUUUAACCCAUCCAAAGUGCAACACACACAGAGCAGUGAACACGCACACACACUGUGAACACACACCCGGAGCAGUGGGCAGCCAUUUAUGCUGCGGCGCCUGGGUAGCAGUUGGGGGUUCAGUGCCUUGCUCAAGGGCACCUAAGUCGUGGUAUUGAAGGUGGAGAGAGAGCUGUACAUGCACUCCCCCCACCCACAAUUCCUGCCGACCCAGGACUCGAACUUACAACCUUUCUAUUGAGAGUCCGACUCUCUAACCAGUAGGCCACAGCUCCCCCCCCCCCCCCCUUUUUUUUAUUUUUUUUAUAAGUAGGUGUGUUAGAUAAAUAAGUGUAUGUGUAUGUAAAUAGUGUAGUGUGUUCCACAGUUAUCACUUUUGUCAUUUAGUCCUGUAAUUUUUUGGGUUUCUUUGGCAUGAGGAUGAUGGUGGAGUGUUUGAAACAUGAAGGGACUACACACAGCUCCAGCAAUCUGUUGAAGAUCUGAGUGAAGAUGGGGGCCAGCUGGGCAGCACAGGAUUUCAGACAGGCUGGUGUAACACAAUCUGGGCCUGGUGCAUUUUUUUCCUUUUCUGCUUCUGUGAGACAUUGUCCCCCUUCCUGUAAGCAUCUUCUUUGGCCUAAUGGAGCUGUCUGAGUUUUGCAGGGAAGCACUGUUUGUCAUUGUGGUAAGUUAGAUGAGUCCUGGUAGGAAUACACAUAUCCUUACAGAAACUGAUAUAAGAUGUUACAGUCUCUCUGAGUUCAUCCAGAUCGGUGGCAGCAGUCAAAACUCAAAACAAGAUUGUAAUCUGCUCUGCUUCAUUAGUCCAUCUUUUUACUGUCCUUAAUACAGGUUUAGCUGAUUUAUUUUCUGCCUGUAGGUCAGUAUAAGAUGAACCAGACAGUGAUCAGAAUGUCCCAAAGCUGCACGUGGAUUGUGGUGUAACAGUGAUCCAAUAUAUUACUGUCUCUAGUGGGACAUGUGAUGUGCUGUCUGUAUUUUGGCAGUUCAUGGGAGAGAUUGGCUUUAUUAAAGUCCACGAGAAUGAUUAAAACAGAGUCCGGGUGUUGUUUUUUUGUCUCUGUGAUCUGAUCAGCCAGUUUCUGUAAAGCUGAGCUCAUGAAUUACUCCCGCGGCGAAUAGAACGGCUUGCAGUUGACAAAUAGCACUUCUAGAUCAGCAUAUCUUCCACAGC